CCACCACUAAGCCAGUGGUGAACUCCACAUCCGCAUCCUUUGCUGAGGAUACGGUUAACGGAGCGAAAGCGACGUUCAACCGCAAAACAAGCAGAGGGGGCUUAGUGGUGGGGUGACUGCGUACCUUUUGUAUAAUGGGUCAGCGACUUAUAUUCUGUAGCAAGGUUAACCGUAUAGGGGAGCCGGAGGGAAACCGAGUCUUAACCGGGCGUUAAGUUGCAGGGUAUAGACCCGAAACCCGGUGAUCUAGCCAUGGGCAGGUUGAAGGUUGGGUAACACUAACUGGAGGACCGAACCGACUAAUGUUGAAAAAUUAGCGGAUGACCUGUGGCUGGGGGUGAAAGGCCAAUCAAACCGGGAGAUAGCUGGUUCUCCCCGAAAGCUAUUUAGGUAGCGCCUCGUGAAUUCAUCUCCGGGGGUAGAGCACUGUUUCGGCUAGGGGGCCAUCCCGGCUUACCAACCCGAUGCAAACUGCGAAUACCGGAGAAUGUUAUCACGGGAGACACACGGCGGGUGCUAACGUCCGUCGUGAAGAGGGAAACAACCCAGACCGCCAGCUAAGGUCCCAAAGUCAUGGUUAAGUGGGAAACGAUGUGGGAAGGCCCAGACAGCCAGGAUGUUGGCUUAGAAGCAGCCAUCAUUUAAAGAAAGCGUAAUAGCUCACUGGUCGAGUCGGCCUGCGCGGAAGAUGUAACGGGGCUAAACCAU
RNAcentral lists this ribosomal RNA (708 nucleotides) under Salmonella enterica. Its description in RNAcentral is "partial 23S ribosomal RNA". It matches the Rfam family "Bacterial large subunit ribosomal RNA", at positions 1 to 1190 of the family's 2925-position model. Lineage: Bacteria; Pseudomonadati; Pseudomonadota; Gammaproteobacteria; Enterobacterales; Enterobacteriaceae. The record is from RNAcentral.